ACGGAGGAUGCGAGCGUUAUCCGGAUUUAUUGGGUUUAAAGGGAGCGCAGGCGGACUCUUAAGUCAGUUGUGAAAUACGGCGGCUCAACCGUCGGACUGCAGUUGAUACUGGGAGUCUUGAGUGCACACAGGGAUGCUGGAAUUCAUGGUGUAGCGGUGAAAUGCUCAGAUAUCAUGAAGAACUCCGAUCGCGAAGGCAGGUAUCCGGGGUGCAACUGACGCUGAGGCUCGAAAGUGCGGGUAUCAAACAGGAUUAGAUACCCUGGUAGUCCGCACAGUAAACGAUGAAUACUCGCGGUUGGCGAUAUACUGUCAGCCGCCAAGCGAAAGCGUUAAGUAUUCCACCUGGGGAGUACGCCGGCAACGGUG
This 369-nucleotide ribosomal RNA is filed under the name uncultured bacterium. RNAcentral's name for it is "bacterial SSU rRNA". It matches the Rfam family "Bacterial small subunit ribosomal RNA", at positions 525 to 896 of the family's 1533-position model. The record is from RNAcentral.